AACAAGCUGGAAAGCUUGGCGAUACAGGGUGAUAGCCCCGUAACCGACGCUUCAUCGAGCGUGAAAUCGAGUAGGGCGGGACACGUGAUAUCCUGUCUGAAUAUGGGGGGACCAUCCUCCAAGGCUAAAUACUCCUGACUGACCGAUAGUGAACCAGUACCGUGAGGGAAAGGCGAAAAGAACCCCUGUGAGGGGAGUGAAAUAGAACCUGAAACCGUGUACGUACAAGCAGUAGGAGCACCUUCGUGGUGUGACUGCGUACCUUUUGUAUAAUGGGUCAGCGACUUAUAUUCAGUGGCAAGGUUAACCGUAUAGGGGAGCCGUAGCGAAAGCGAGUCUUAACUGGGCGCUCAGUCUCUGGAUAUAGACCCGAAACCGGGUGAUCUAGCCAUGGGCAGGUUGAAGGUUGAGUAACAUCAACUGGAGGACCGAACCGACUAAUGUUGAAAAAUUAGCGGAUGACUUGUGGCUAGGGGUGAAAGGCCAAUCAAACUCGGAGAUAGCUGGUUCUCCCCGAAAGCUAUUUAGGUAGCGCCUCGGACGAAUACUACUGGGGGUAGAGCACUGUUAAGGCUAGGGGGUCAUCCCGACUUACCAACCCUUUGCAAACUCCGAAUACCAGUAAGUACUAUCCGGGAGACACACGGCGGGUGCUAACGUCCGUCGUGGAGAGGGAAACAACCCAGACCGCCAGCUAAGGUCCCAAAGUAUUGCUAAGUGGGAAACGAUGUGGGAAGGCUCAGACAGCUAGGAUGUUGGCUUAGAAGCAGCCAUCAUUUAAAGAAAGCGUAAUAGCUCACUAGUCGAGUCGGCCUGCGCGGAAGAUGUAACGGGGCUAAGCAAUACACCGAAGCUGCGGCAAUAUCUUUUAGAUAUUGGGUAGGGGAGCGUUCUGUAAGCCGUUGAAGGUGAAUCGUAAGGUUUGCUGGAGGUAUCAGAAGUGCGAAUGCUGACAUGAGUAACGACAAAGGGGGUGAAAAACCUCCUCGCCGGAAGACCAAGGGUUCCUGUCCAACGUUAAUCGGGGCAGGGUGAGUCGACCCCUAAGGUGAGGCCGAAAGGCGUAAUCGAUGGGAAACGGGUUAAUAUUCCCGUACUUCUGACUAUUGCGAUGGGGGGACGGAGAAGGCUAGGUGGGCCAGGCGACGGUUGUCCUGGUUCAAGUGCGUAGGCUUGAGAGUUAGGUAAAUCCGGCUCUCUCUAAGGCUGAGACACGACGUCGAGCUGCUACGGCAGUGAAGUCAUUGAUGCCAUGCUUCCAGGAAAAGCCUCUAAGCUUCAGAUAGUCAGGAAUCGUACCCCAAACCGACACAGGUGGUCGGGUAGAGAAUACCAAGGCGCUUGAGAGAACUCGGGUGAAGGAACUAGGCAAAAUGGUACCGUAACUUCGGGAGAAGGUACGCUCUUGAUGGUGAAGUCCCUCGCGGAUGGAGCUGACGAGAGUCGCAGAUACCAGGUGGCUGCAACUGUUUAUUAAAAACACAGCACUGUGCAAAAUCGCAAGAUGACGUAUACGGUGUGACGCCUGCCCGGUGCCGGAAGGUUAAUUGAUGGGGUUAGCGCAAGCGAAGCUCUUGAUCGAAGCCCCGGUAAACGGCGGCCGUAACUAUAACGGUCCUAAGGUAGCGAAAUUCCUUGUCGGGUAAGUUCCGACCUGCACGAAUGGCGUAAUGAUGGCCACGCUGUCUCCACCCGAGACUCAGUGAAAUUGAAAUCGCUGUGAAGAUGCAGUGUACCCGCGGCUAGACGGAAAGACCCCGUGAACCUUUACUACAGCUUGGCACUGAACAUUGAACCUACAUGUGUAGGAUAGGUGGGAGGCUAUGAAGACGUGACGCCAGUUGCGUUGGAGCCGUCCUUGAAAUACCACCCUUGUAUGUUUGAUGUUCUAACUUAGACCCAUUAUCUGGGUUGAGGACAGUGCCUGGUGGGUAGUUUGACUGGGGCGGUCUCCUCCCAAAGAGUAACGGAGGAGCACGAAGGUGGGCUAAUCACGGUUGGACAUCGUGAGGUUAGUGCAAUGGCAUAAGCCCGCUUAACUGCGAGAAUGACGGUUCGAGCAGGUGCGAAAGCAGGUCAUAGUGAUCCGGUGGUUCUGUAUGGAAGGGCCAUCGCUCAACGGAUAAAAGGUACUCCGGGGAUAACAGGCUGAUACCGCCCAAGAGUUCAUAUCGACGGCGGUGUUUGGCACCUCGAUGUCGGCUCAUCACAUCCUGGGGCUGAAGUCGGUCCCAAGGGUAUGGCUGUUCGCCAUUUAAAGUGGUACGCGAGCUGGGUUUAGAACGUCGUGAGACAGUUCGGUCCCUAUCUGCCGUGGGCGUUGGAAGAUUGAAGGGGGCUGCUCCUAGUACGAGAGGACCGGAGUGGACGAACCUCUGGUGUUCGGGUUGUGUCGCCAGACGCAUUGCCCGGUAGCUAAGUUCGGAAUUGAUAAGCGCUGAAAGCAUCUAAGCGCGAAGCGAGCCCUGAGAUGAGUCUUCCCUGACAGUUUAACUGUUCUAAAGGGUUGUUCGAGACUAGAACGUUGAUAGGCAGGGUGUGUAAGCGUUGUGAGGCGUUGAGCUAACCUGUACUAAUUGCCCGUGAGGCUUAACCA
This 2596-nucleotide ribosomal RNA is filed under the name Vibrio cholerae. RNAcentral describes it as "partial 23S ribosomal RNA". It matches the Rfam family "Bacterial large subunit ribosomal RNA", at positions 336 to 2925 of the family's 2925-position model. The record is from RNAcentral. Lineage: Bacteria; Pseudomonadati; Pseudomonadota; Gammaproteobacteria; Vibrionales; Vibrionaceae.